RNAcentral lists this long non-coding RNA (606 nucleotides) under Gouania willdenowi (blunt-snouted clingfish). Its description in RNAcentral is "lncRNA (ENSGWIG00000017772.1)". Lineage: Eukaryota; Metazoa; Chordata; Actinopteri; Blenniiformes; Gobiesocidae. The record is from RNAcentral.
AUGUUCCUUUAUGAUUUGUUACUGUUACGGCUGGUGCCUUAUUGUGUUUACUGUGUUGGUGGAGGAGUGAGAGCUCUUCCACAAUGUAAUAUCUAUCCAAAUGAGCAGGACAGCAGGGAGUGGCCAUCACCAAGGAUGCUGAUUGGGUCUCCCCAGGGUGUGGCCCUACAUAAGGACUGUCUACCCCAGAAGCUGGUGGAGAGCAGUAGUGGCUGUGUGACUCUCCCUUGCUUGCUGGCCACCAAGAGUGUAUCUGGCUGUGGGAAGUGUGUGUGUGUAUUCAGUGUCCCUGGUUUACCCAGCGUUUUGAGUUAUUUCCUUGUAUUCAGUGUUCCUGGUUUACCCAGCGUUUUGAGUUAUUUCCUUGUAUUCUCAGUGUUCCUGGUUUAACCAGCGUUUUGAGUUUGAACUGUACCUGGAAUUAUUGUUUAUAUUUUGUAAAGAAGCUGUAGGGGUGAGCUGCCAUUUCAUUUUUUUUUUCUAGUGUUUUUGUGUAUAGGCUUAAUAUAGGAGUUUAUUUAUUAUUUUGGCCUUGGUUCACCCUGACGUUUAUGCUUCUGUUUUUGUGUUUAAUUGUUGGGCAAUAAAUGACCUUUGCCUUAUUCA